CGAACGCUGGAGGCGUGCUUAACACAUGCAAGUCGAACGAUGAAAUGGAGCUUGCUCCGUGGAUUAGUGGCGAACGGGUGAGUAACACGUGAAUAACCUGCCCUUAAUUUUGGAAUAACCCAGGGAAACCUGGGCUAAUACCGGAUAAGUAAACCUGUGGCAUCACAUGGUUUUGGAAAGUUUUUUCGAUUAAGGAUGGAUUCGCGGCCUAUCAGCUUGUUGGUGAGGUAAUGGCUCACCAAGGCGACGACGGGUAGCCGGCCUGAGAGGGUGAACGGCCACACUGGGACUGAGACACGGCCCAGACUCCUACGGGAGGCAGCAGUGGGGAAUAUUGCGCAAUGGACGAAAGUCUGACGCAGCGACGCCUCGUGAGGGGACGAAGGUCUUCGGAUUGGUAAACCUCUUUCAGCAGGGACGAAGCGAAAGUGACGGUACCUGCAGAAGAAGCACCGGCUAACGUAUGUGCCAGCAG
This 475-nucleotide ribosomal RNA is filed under the name uncultured bacterium. RNAcentral describes it as "bacterial SSU rRNA". It matches the Rfam family "Bacterial small subunit ribosomal RNA", at positions 30 to 514 of the family's 1533-position model. The record is from RNAcentral.